CCUACGGGAGGCAGCAGUGGGGAAUAUUGCGCAAUGGGCGAAAGCCUGACGCAGCGACGUCGCGUGAGGGACGAAGGUCUUCGGAUUGUAAACCUCUUUCAGCAGGGAUGAAGCGAAAGUGACAGUACCUGCAGAAGAAGCACCGGCUAACUACGUGCCAGCAGCCGCGGUAAUA
This 175-nucleotide ribosomal RNA is filed under the name uncultured bacterium. RNAcentral's name for it is "partial 16S ribosomal RNA". It matches the Rfam family "Bacterial small subunit ribosomal RNA", at positions 338 to 525 of the family's 1533-position model. The record is from RNAcentral.